Molecule: ribosomal RNA, 2139 nt
Filed under: Triticum aestivum (bread wheat)
Lineage: Eukaryota; Viridiplantae; Streptophyta; Magnoliopsida; Poales; Poaceae
Description: partial small subunit ribosomal RNA
Source: RNAcentral
AUGGAGCCUGAUCUAACUUUGGAUGAAGUAGCAGAACAGAACAGAUCAGCACCUGACGAAGAGGAUGAAGAUGCUUUCGUCGUCGAGGAGAUUGGGGAUUCUUCAGAUGACCGACAGGCAGAGCCGACCGUGGCGUUGGAACCCAAGAAGGGGAUGAUGUUCAGCAGCGAGGAUGAUGCUGUCAGGUUCUACAAAGCUUAUGCCAGAAAAAAGGGCUUUGGUGUCAUAAGAAGGACGACCAGACACGGAGAAGACAAAAUGCUUACUUAUUUCACGCUUGCUUGUAACAGACAAGGGAAGGCUCAGUACUCAGCAAAGAACUCAUUCAAGCCUAAUCCGUCGACAAGGAUGCAAUGCCCAGCUAAAAGUAAUUUCUCUCGUCGUGGGGAAAACUUUUGUAUCACGACUGUUACGCUUGACCACAAUCAUCCUAUAAGUCCAAGCAAAGCCAGAUUUCUGAGAUGUCAUAAGAAAGUGGACUUGCAUUCCAAGAGAAGGCUAGAAUUGAAUGAUCAAGCAGGAGCACGUAUGAACAAGAAUUUUGGUUCUCCUGUUAUGGAAGCUGGCUGGUAUGGAAAUCUUGAGUUUGGUGAAAAGGAAUGCACUAACUAUUUGCAAGAGAAAAGAAGCCUGAAACUUGGUGCUGGAGAUGCACAUGCCCUUUAUCAGUAUUUUCUCCAUAUGCAGUCAAAAGAUCCAGCUUUUUUCCAUGUUAUGGAUGUGGCCGAGGAUGGACGACUGAGAAAUGUCUUUUGGGCAGAUGCAAGAAGUAGGGCUGCAUACGAGUCUUAUUGGGAUGUCAUCACAUUUGAUACUACAUACCUAACAAACAAGUAUACAAUACCGCUCGCUACUUUUGUUGGCAUAAAUCAUCAUGGAGAAUCUGUUCUAUUAGGUUGUGGUCUUCUGUCCAAUGAAGACACCGAGACUUUUGUUUGGCUGUUUAAAUCUUGGCUAUGCUGUAUGUCAUGCAAACCACCAAAUGCUAUAAUCACCGACCAAUGCAAACCAAUGCAGAAUGCUAUUGAAGAAGUUUUCCCUCAAGCUCGUCAUAGAUGGUGUGCAUGUCAUAUCAUGAAGAAGAUUCCUGAAAACCUUAAUGGGUAUGAAAACAUUAAAUCUACAUUGUCAAAUGUGGUGUAUGAUUCCUUGACCAAACAUGGUUUUGACAAAGCUUGGGUGGAGAUGAUCAAUAAAUAUGAUCUUCAGGAGAAUGAAUGGCUUGCUGGAUUAUAUGAUAAUAAAAAUCGAUGGGUACCAGCAUAUGUAAAAGAUACUUUCUGGGCAGGAAUGUCUUCAACAAAAAGGAGUGAGAGUGUAAAUGCUUUCUUUGAUGGCUAUGUCAAUGCUAGAACAACUCUGAAGCAAUUUGUGGAGCAGUAUGAAAAUUUACUAAGAGACAAGGUAGAGAAAGAAAACAAGGCUGAUUCUAAGUCAUUCCAACAGCAAAUUCCAUGCAUUACUCACUAUGACUUUGAGAGACAAUUUCAAGCAGCAUAUACUACUGCAAAGUUUAAAGAGUUUCAAGAUCAAUUAAGAGGUAAAAUCUAUUGCUAUCCAACUCAGCUGAACAAAGAAGGAUCAAUUUUUACAUUUGGAGUCAGAGAGGACAGCAAGAUUUUUUGUGAAGGGGAGGAUGGCAAAGGAAAAGAGAAAAGGGUUAUUUUAGAGUUCAUUGUCUUGUUCAACCAAGGGGAAUGUGAUGUGCAGUGUAUGUGUAGGCUCUUUGAAUUUCGAGGCAUCUUGUGUAGCCACAUCAUUUCCGUGCUUGCUCUCAUGGAGAUCACAGAUGUACCUUCUAGGUAUAUAUUGCAGCGAUGGAGAAAGGAUAUUAAGCGCAAACACACAUUUAUUAGAUGCUCCUAUGAUGAUAUGAUUGAUACACAAGUUGUGCAGCGUUAUGAUAAUUUGUGCAAGCGUUCCCACGAACUGGCAGAGAAUGGUGCAGAGUCUGAUGCAUUGCAUGACUUGGUGAUGGAUGGCCUUAAUGAAUUACAAAGUAAGAUUGACGCGUACUGUGCUAGUGUAGGUUGUCCUCCUUCAAAGAGAAAGGAAUCGAAAGUGGAUCAAGUGGUCAAAAAAUUGAGAGCAAAGAAGCAGCAGGUACCAACAAAUACAAAUGAAAUGCCAAGUCAAUAG